Non-coding RNA from Bacillus amyloliquefaciens, 77 nucleotides. The record is from Rfam. NCBI's taxonomy places the organism in Bacteria, Bacillati, Bacillota, Bacilli, Caryophanales, Bacillaceae.
GGGCUCUUCAAAAAGAAGAGAAUUCAUAAGAGUGCUACGCUCCCUUUCAAGAAAUUGAAAGGGAGCUUUCUUAUUUU